AGGAAUUUUGGACAAUGAGCGCAAGCUUGAUCCAGCCAUGUCGCCUGGGUGAAUAAAGAAGGCUAUUUUGGUUGUAAAACCCUAACCUUGCUUUUGAUUAUGACAUAGGGCAAGGGAACAGUCCCGGCUAACUUCGUGCCAGCAGCCGCGGUAAUACGAAGGGGGCUAGCGUUGCUCGGAAUGACUGGGCGUAAAGGGCGCGUAGGCGGCUUGUACAGUCAGAUGUGAAAUUCCCGGGCUUAACCUGGGGGCUGCAUUUGAUACGUGCGGGCUAGAGUGUGAAAGAGGGUCGUGGAAUUCCCAGUGUAGAGGUGAAAUUCGUAGAUAUUGGGAAGAACACCGGUGGCGAAGGCGGCGACCUGGUUCAUGACUGACGCUGAGGCGCGAAAGCGUGGGGAGCAAA
This 403-nucleotide ribosomal RNA is filed under the name uncultured bacterium. RNAcentral's name for it is "bacterial SSU rRNA". It matches the Rfam family "Bacterial small subunit ribosomal RNA", at positions 357 to 772 of the family's 1533-position model. The record is from RNAcentral.